This 21-nucleotide ribosomal RNA is filed under the name Hypotrachyna polydactyla. RNAcentral describes it as "partial 26S ribosomal RNA". The record is from RNAcentral. Lineage: Eukaryota; Fungi; Ascomycota; Lecanoromycetes; Lecanorales; Parmeliaceae.
UGACCCUCGGAUCAGGAGGAC